RNAcentral lists this long non-coding RNA (1233 nucleotides) under Homo sapiens (human). RNAcentral's name for it is "HSALNT0336183". Lineage: Eukaryota; Metazoa; Chordata; Mammalia; Primates; Hominidae. The record is from RNAcentral.
GCAGGACACAAACCUGAGAGGGCAGGAAGUCCACGCUGCCACCACGGGGUCACCACAGGGAGCCUGGUGGGGACACAGAGUAAAAAGAAUAGAAAAUAACCAAAUGUCAAGACUGCAACUGGGGUGGAGCCAAGCUGCUGCGGAUGUUGCCAAGGGCCCUUCCCGGGAGAGCCAGGUGGGGUACCCACAUGCCACCUUCUCCUCAGGUGGAGCCACCGCCUGUGGCCUCCUGUGGGGCCAGCCUGGACUGCAGCUGCCAGGACCUAGUGAUGGCCCCAAACCUGAGAGUGGGCCCAGAGUCCCACCCCGCUAACCAUGCUGAAAAAGGCCACAGGGCACAUGAAGCCUUUGCUCCCUGGAUCAGGUCACGCUCUCCAGUUUUCCUUCCAGGAGGACAGGCCAUGCACUAAAAAACAGCUGCAGAGGAAAGGCUGGACCAGGUGUGCUGGGAGUCACCAGGAGCAAGGUGGUGAAGGAGCACAUGAAUCCGGGCAACGUGACUUAAGAGCUGGCUGAUGUUCCAGGACAGCACAAAAGAACGGAACUUGUUUUCAUGCUAUGAGUGCGCAAACCAAUGGGCAGUUUUUGGGGUUACUCGUGAUUGCUCCUCGGUCCAGAGUUCAGGCAGCAAUCUGAGCCACUCAACUGCUCUUCUUUACCCCUCUACCUCUGCAGUUCAUUGGGGGACAGAGCUGGGCCAGGAUCCUGGGACAGAAGGAGGAGGCGGGCCCAGGAAAGUCCACUUGGGGUAACACACAAUUUGUACAUAAAAAAGAAAUGUUCACCUCUUUGUAUGUACCGUAGUAAUUAUUUCACCUUCUUUUAUGAACUUGCACAUUUUCAGAGAGAGUUAAAUUAAGCAGAGUCUGAAAGUGGAGAAUUCUCACAUAGAUAAAAGAAUGGGGACCUGAAAUUGGGUCAUCAGGAAGUGUCUUGUGGCAAAAUACACUUAGUAUCGAACUGAAGGAAGAAAUAUUUCAAACAUUUUCUUUAAGGAAAACUUAAUGGAUGUGACUUAAUAUUGUCUAGACUGACCUAGCAGCACAAGGUGGUGCGUUCAAGGACUUUUCAUCUCAAUCCACAGGAAAAGGGUUCGAUUUAGAUGAGAAAGAGGGAGCGGGGCACAGCUAGACUGGAGAGGCAUCCUGUCCACGGAUUAGUCUUCACUCUUCAUGUGGGCAGUAGAAUGGUAAACGGGACCUUCUUAAAACAGCAGCUCCCAAACACUGGGAG